This 178-nucleotide small RNA is filed under the name Chrysemys picta bellii (western painted turtle). RNAcentral's name for it is "TUC338 (ENSCPBG00000018190.1)". The record is from RNAcentral. Lineage: Eukaryota; Metazoa; Chordata; Testudines; Emydidae.
UUAGCAGCUCUGGAGAUUGAAAUCUGUCUAUCCACAGAAUAGGUACAGCACACAUGGCAUCAGUGCAAACUUCCCCACCUAGCCCCACUGAUAUGCUUCAUCUCUGACCUGGAAAGAUGACCUAUAGGGACAAGAGGGCUCUUGAAGUUCAUCCUUCAUGAUGUAAAUGGUGAUAAGA